RNAcentral lists this ribosomal RNA (253 nucleotides) under uncultured bacterium. Its description in RNAcentral is "partial 16S ribosomal RNA". It matches the Rfam family "Bacterial small subunit ribosomal RNA", at positions 524 to 776 of the family's 1533-position model. The record is from RNAcentral.
UACGUAGGGUGCAAGCGUUAAUCGGAAUUACUGGGCGUAAAGCGUGCGUAGGCGGCUAUGUAAGUCAGAUGUGAAAUCCCUGGGCUUAACCUGGGAACUGCAUUUGUGACUGCAUUGCUAGAGUGUGGUAGAGGGAGAUGGAAUUCCGCAUGUAGCAGUGAAAUGCGUAGAUAUGCGGAGGAACACCAAUGGCGAAGGCAAUCUCCUGGACCUGCACUGACGCUCAUGCACGAAAGCGUGGGGAGCAAACAGG